GUGGCGAACGGGUGAGUAAUAUAUCGGAACGUACCCAGAAGUGGGGGAUAGCGUAGCGAAAGUUACGCUAAUACCGCAUACGAUCUACGGAUGAAAGUGGGGGACCUUCGGGCCUCAUGCUUUUGGAGCGGCCGAUAUCUGAUUAGCUAGUUGGUGAGGUAAAGGCUCACCAAGGCAACGAUCAGUAGCUGGUCUGAGAGGACGACCAGCCACACUGGAACUGAGACACGGUCCAGACUCCUACGGGAGGCAGCAGUGGGGAAUUUUGGACAAUGGGCGCAAGCCUGAUCCAGCAAUGCCGCGUGAGUGAAGAAGGCCUUCGGGUUGUAAAGCUCUUUUGUCAGGGAAGAAACGGCUGCGGCUAAUAUCUGCGGCUAAUGACG
Molecule: ribosomal RNA, 383 nt
Filed under: uncultured bacterium
Lineage: Bacteria
Description: bacterial SSU rRNA
Rfam family: Bacterial small subunit ribosomal RNA
Source: RNAcentral